RNAcentral lists this long non-coding RNA (1473 nucleotides) under Gallus gallus (chicken). RNAcentral describes it as "lncRNA (ENSGALG00010023607.1)". The record is from RNAcentral. Lineage: Eukaryota; Metazoa; Chordata; Aves; Galliformes; Phasianidae.
CUCACUGACACGCGGCGGACUUCCAGCCAGUGCUGCGGGGGAUCACAGAGGCGGGCAGACCGGGCAAAUGGGGCUGGGCACACAAAAAGCAGCAGCCAAAGAGUCAGCUUCCCUGCUUACAGGGGACCCCCGGCCACUGCCGCCAUUGAAAAGGGCCUGGGACUCCGGGACACAGAUGCUCCCUGACUUACAGGGCAGCCCCCAUCCCUACGGCCGAGGGAGGCUCCUUCUCUCCCAGUCCGGGGCACCUCGACCCACACCCCGCUAGCGGGGCGGUCACCCCACACAGGCUGCCAGCAGAGCACAAACGCUCGCGCACCCAGACCCUGAUUACAGGCGGGUGGACAACACCCCUGGAGCCACAGAGCUCGGUUUCCCCCCCAGCGGCAGGAGCAACUCUCAGCAGCCAGGCAGCGGGGCGGCACGGCCAAAGGCCGCAGUCGGGAUCCCAGCCCCGAUUCCAGGGAGGGCGCAAGCCCCACCCCGCAUCUCACGGCCCCGCGCCUCUGAAAGGCCGGGGCCACAUUCCCACCUGAGUACAGGGGGUCUCUCAGAACGCAGCUCACCAAGCACACACGGGGGGCACACACAGCCCUGCCUACAGGACGGUACCCCCACACCUCACCCUCUUCAAGAAGCCCCGCGGAGCACGAGGCUCCCGCCAACGCCUGAGUUACAGGCUGGCCCGCCCGGCAGCAGCAGAACAUCACCAACGUCUCGUCUUUGGAAGCCCAGGGAGCUACCUCGACCCACCGAGCGGGGAGGUCACCCCACACACAAACAGCACCUCAACCUGCACCCUCUGACGGGACAGGGAGGGGUCACUCCCACCAGCUGGACGGCUAAAGCAGCCGGCUGCAACGCUGCAGCCUCCCCACACCUGGUUACAGGGCGGGCGGGCUGCUCAGGGACAGAGGGCUCCAAAGCUUGGGACACACACCCCGAGUACGGGGCCGUCGCAUUGACAAGCCACCAUCAGGCAACGAUGCCGAGGGGCCGGGGGAGGAAGAGGGGCAGGGAAACGGCACUACCCUGCUUACAGGGUGGCCUCGGGGUCCGGCGAGCUCCAUUUCCCACUCAGGUGCGGAGAGGUGACUCUCGCCCUCCGUUACAGGGGGCCACGCUCCCCAGGCAGCCCUAGGAGCAGCAAGGCAAAAGGCCAACUACAGCAAAGACCCGAGCCCUGCUUACAGGGAGGUCGCCCAGCACAAAGCCCGCCGGGACGCCAGAGGCACCGGCAGCGCUCAACUCAAACGUGACUGUGCCCCCGCUAACGGGACAGGUGCUUUGCCCAGGGAGCCUCUCUCCUUCCCCCCCGCAUCUGCACGCUUCCGCUUCCUCUUCUUGCUUGCUCGCUCCUGCCGCCCAGGUCCCCACGCUGCUGCUUCUUCUUUCUUCUGCAGCAGCUCCUGAAACAUCAGCGGGGACACCAUUAGACCUGCGCGGUGGCAAGCCCCCCACCUGGCAGAAAAG